AGCGUGAAGAGGAACUGGCCCCCAUCUUCUCUACUCUAAUUUCCCAAAUAAUGUCUGUGAAUAUAGAGUCUUCGCAACCUGACUUCCUAAUUAAGAAAGUGACAUGUUUGGAAAGGAUUUUAAAUGACAGCGUUUGUCAAGCUGUUUGUUUAGUGAACUCUCUGGGUGUGCUGUUACACAAGAACUGUCUUAAUUAAGGUUAAUUGGUGCAUAAUUAUAGGCACUGCUGACUUAAAAGAUUCCACUGGCGGUAAAGCAAUGAGAACCCUUAAUGUCUAGACAAGGACAAAGCAAUCACAAUAAGCCAAAUUUCAAGACACAUUCUAUUUCCAACACAAGGGCCCUACCCCUGGUCUGACCUGUUUAGAAGGGCACAUCUCACCAAGUGUUUGGGAACCCCUUGUGAGCUUUGGAUAAAGAAAAUCUGAUUCCAGCCUCGUGGUAUUUAGAAAAAAACAAAGAAAAGUAAAUGCAAUGGUGGGCUGGUUAUUAUUCUAAACUGUUAAAAUUUAGCUCAGGUAAAAAUCAAUCAACUUCACUUUCUCUCUGUCCUUAUUUUCUUCCCUUGCAUAAAGGGAGAAGUGGGUUGGGUAGGCAGAUGGGCAUAGAGAAUAGAGGCAGUAUCGUUCUCAAUAUCGGAAAAUGACUAGAAACAACGUGGUAGCCUGUUUCCCAUGUCUACCACGGGCACCACUGGUGCAUCACAGUGCAGUCCCCGACUUAUGUUAGCUACAAGCCCGGGUUUCCCAAGAGGGAGGGCACCAGACACCAAAAUGAACUCCAAGUGAGGUCAUAAAAUUGCUUUCCCUAGUGUCUUUAAAAACAAGAUGAAAGCAUGCAGCACUGGCUGGCGUUAGCAAGAACUUAUUUGGAAGCUGGAGAUUGACUAGAACUUCUGUAAGGAACCACCUAUUUUUGUUCCUGUUGGCUAUUUUCUUUUAAUUUCCAAUCCAUUGUGGACCAAUAUUUUUGUAAAAUACAAUAUAAGUGAGUUACUAAAUAAAUUUAAAAAGACAAAGUGCAAGUCCAAAUAUGUUAAUGUUAGAUUCAACAGACACAAAAUGAUUCAGUUAUUAUAAAAGUUUGUAAUAUUCCUUUGCAAUUUCUAUACUCAUCUCUUUGCAGAGCUCUAAGAAACAGCUUGGAUUGGGGCCCCAAGGUACUGUGCCAGAGGCCCGUGGGGUCGUCUUGGCCCUUCAGGCUCCUGGAAUGCUGCAGCUUUGCGUUCUGAGCAUGCGCAGCCCACUCCCCACAUCUGACCUCAGGCGGUCCGUCCCUUGCACAUGUGAUGAGGUCCUAUCCUCACACCUGGCUCGGCCUUUGGGGCGAGGCUCAGCUGCCUGGUGACUCUGAGGGGCUGGGGGCCAAAGAGUCCACGAGCAUUGAGAUUUGCGUGACGGAUGGUGUGAGCCAGUGUCCUUAUGGAGGAGUCUGGGAGGAGGGGCCUCCGGCACCCCAGGCACCCAGAUGUUUCUUAUCCCAGGAUUCCCCUGCGCGGCCUGUAAAACUCUGGAGAAAACGCGAGAUGGGGCUUCCUCUGGGAAGAGUGAUGGCGCUGCAGGGCCGGCAGGGUGAUUCCGCCGCUCUGAGCCUUUCUGAGGCUCAGGUCACGCCAGCCCAUCCUCUCCCUGCCCCUCCAUCAGGACUCGCACUUGCCCCUGAGUCACCAAGCGCACCCUGCGGUCUCCAACUGCUCCCUGUUUGAAGAAAGUAGCGCUAAUCUGUGAACUCCACUUUGAAUACAGCUGGCCCAGCCGUCAUUCACAGCCACAGCAGGAAUACAAAACUGUCUUGGAAUAACUUGGAUGACAGCAGCUUUCUCACGGCAUUUGCUUGGUAUAAGGAUGCAAAAGUGAACAAUACAAGCAGGAUCUUUGCCUUCGCGGAGACAUUUAGCAGUCACAGGGCUCAACCUUAGACUACAUUUACCAGCCUCCCUUGCAGCGAGUUGUGGUCACCUGACCUCAUCUGUUGAGAAGAAUGCAAUCAGCAGUAGCAUACAAUCUUCCAGGCAUGAACCAUGAAAACUUCCCACAAUCUUCUGUGUUCUUUCUUCCCCAUCUAACAGCCUAGAGGUUGAAGAGUGGACAAGACAGAAGGAAACUAGGCCCUGAAUGAGCAUUCAGGCCUACCAUCAAAUCAGAUGUUCAGUUUCAGCUUUGAGGGAAUGAGCUACUUUUUAGGGGAGUUGAGUUACUGAAAUUCGUUACUUGCCUAAUUAAUGUGCAAGUCUGGAUGCCAUGCUGUGGAAUUUAAUUGGACGGUGUUGUUUUUGGCUAAGCAUAAUUUGCUCUGAAAAAAAUCUCAAAAGAGGUAAGUUUUCCCAAUAUGAAAUUUCAUGGUGGAUAUUUUGAAGAGAUGCAUUAUUUGUAUGGGCACAUUCUGGUAUUUGUAUUUUAAUGGUUUAUAUUCACAUAUCAUUUGAAGACUGUAAGCAUCGUGAAGGUGGGAACCGUGACUGUCUUGUUCUUGGCUGUAUCCACAGAAUUUAACACAGAGCCCUGUAUUCAAAAAAAUUUAAUUGAAUCAAGAAAAUAUGGAAAUAACUGAAUGACUGACUGGUUCAUACAGAAUGAGGAGAUGGUUUUUCAUUGUAUAUUUUGAGAUGAGCAUAUCAGUGAGUCUGGUGCUUCGGUAGUUAUAAUACAUUAUUUUCUAACUCAACCAUCUUUUAAUUAAUAAGAGUGAAACUACAUAGUGAUUUUUGUCCCAUACUAUGUAUUGUCUUAUAGUUUUAAAUUUCUUCCUGCAUAUAGUAAGUGCUAAAUAAAUACUUGUUGAAUGAAUGAAGUUUGCAAACACUAGUCCACUUUUUUGUUAGAUUGAGGGUGUGUGGAAAUGAGGACUGCAUCUUAUAUUGCUUAACAUACUGAUGAUAACUGAGGUUACAGUUACAUACAGUGGAGACCAUAAUUGAACUCAUAUAUAUAUCUCCUAUAAGAGUGCAUUGUAAGUUCUAGAUAAAAUUUAAUUAGUGAUUCACAUAGGAUAGCAUCAGAGAAAAGCUCAACUCUUGUUUUGACUGAUGAAGAAAACUUCCAGCAUUUCAUAGAUUGGAUUAAAGUAAUUAAAGGAAUAAGAAUGAAAAAAUAUUAACGUGCAGUUCUAAGAAUGAGUUAGAAUAAAAUUUUCCUCUCAUAGGAGGUGGGUGGAGCAAAAUGGCAGGGUGAGCUGACCCGGGACUCUCUCCUCUCCAAACUACAACAAAGGACUGGAAAAAAAAACUGAAUUUCAGCUAAUAAAUCUAGUUCCAGGACUCAGAGACCUACAGUAUCAAAAGAUGGAGGACAGAGACCCUGCUGCCAGCCUCGGAGGAGCUGGAAUGGGGUAGGAGAGAAUUUCACUCCCUCCCCUAGAGUCUGGGAUCACUACUGUGGGUGUGGGAAGGAGCAGGGGAGGGGCCGCACGACUGGGGGAUC
RNAcentral lists this long non-coding RNA (3419 nucleotides) under Equus caballus (horse). RNAcentral describes it as "lncRNA (ENSECAG00000055491.1)". The record is from RNAcentral. Lineage: Eukaryota; Metazoa; Chordata; Mammalia; Perissodactyla; Equidae.